This 2924-nucleotide ribosomal RNA is filed under the name Klebsiella pneumoniae. RNAcentral describes it as "bacterial LSU rRNA". It matches the Rfam family "Bacterial large subunit ribosomal RNA". Lineage: Bacteria; Pseudomonadati; Pseudomonadota; Gammaproteobacteria; Enterobacterales; Enterobacteriaceae. The record is from RNAcentral.
GGGUUGUGAGGUUAAGCGACUAAGCGUACACGGUGGAUGCCCUGGCAGUCAGAGGCGAUGAAGGACGUGCUAAUCUGCGAAAAGCGUCGGUAAGGUGAUAUGAACCGUUAUAACCGGCGAUGUCCGAAUGGGGAAACCCAGUGCAAUUCGUUGCACUAUCGUUAACUGAAUACAUAGGUUAACGAGGCGAACCGGGGGAACUGAAACAUCUAAGUACCCCGAGGAAAAGAAAUCAACCGAGAUUCCCCCAGUAGCGGCGAGCGAACGGGGAGCAGCCCAGAGUCUGAAUCAGCUUGUGUGUUAGUGGAACGGUCUGGAAAGUCCGACGGUACAGGGUGAUAGUCCCGUACACCAAAAUGCACAGGCUGUGAACUCGAAGAGUAGGGCGGGACACGUGGUAUCCUGUCUGAAUAUGGGGGGACCAUCCUCCAAGGCUAAAUACUCCUGACUGACCGAUAGUGAACCAGUACCGUGAGGGAAAGGCGAAAAGAACCCCGGCGAGGGGAGUGAAAAAGAACCUGAAACCGUGUACGUACAAGCAGUGGGAGCACCUUUAUGGUGUGACUGCGUACCUUUUGUAUAAUGGGUCAGCGACUUAUAUUCUGUAGCAAGGUUAACCGUAUAGGGGAGCCGCAGGGAAACCGAGUCUUAACUGGGCGUUAAGUUGCAGGGUAUAGACCCGAAACCCGGUGAUCUAGCCAUGGGCAGGUUGAAGGUUGGGUAACACUAACUGGAGGACCGAACCGACUAAUGUUGAAAAAUUAGCGGAUGACUUGUGGCUGGGGGUGAAAGGCCAAUCAAACCGGGAGAUAGCUGGUUCUCCCCGAAAGCUAUUUAGGUAGCGCCUCGUGAACUCAUCUUCGGGGGUAGAGCACUGUUUCGGCUAGGGGGUCAUCCCGACUUACCAACCCGAUGCAAACUACGAAUACCGAAGAAUGUUAUCACGGGAGACACACGGCGGGUGCUAACGUCCGUCGUGAAGAGGGAAACAACCCAGACCGCCAGCUAAGGUCCCAAAGUCAUGGUUAAGUGGGAAACGAUGUGGGAAGGCACAGACAGCCAGGAUGUUGGCUUAGAAGCAGCCAUCAUUUAAAGAAAGCGUAAUAGCUCACUGGUCGAGUCGGCCUGCGCGGAAGAUGUAACGGGGCUAAACCAUGCACCGAAGCUGCGGCAGCGACACUAUGUGUUGUUGGGUAGGGGAGCGUUCUGUAAGCCUGCGAAGGUGUGCUGUGAGGCAUGCUGGAGGUAUCAGAAGUGCGAAUGCUGACAUAAGUAACGAUAAAGCGGGUGAAAAGCCCGCUCGCCGGAAGACCAAGGGUUCCUGUCCAACGUUAAUCGGGGCAGGGUGAGUCGACCCCUAAGGCGAGGCCGAAAGGCGUAGUCGAUGGGAAACAGGUUAAUAUUCCUGUACUUGGUGUUACUGCGAAGGGGGGACGGAGAAGGCUAUGUUAGCCGGGCGACGGUUGUCCCGGUUUAAGCAUGUAGGCUGAUUGUCCAGGCAAAUCCGGAUAAUCAAGGCUGAGGUGUGAUGACGAGGCACUACGGUGCUGAAGUAACAAAUGCCCUGCUUCCAGGAAAAGCCUCUAAGCAUCAGGUAACAUUAAAUCGUACCCCAAACCGACACAGGUGGUCAGGUAGAGAAUACCAAGGCGCUUGAGAGAACUCGGGUGAAGGAACUAGGCAAAAUGGUGCCGUAACUUCGGGAGAAGGCACGCUGGUGUGUAGGUGAAGUCCCUGCGGAUGGAGCUGAGACCAGUCGAAGAUACCAGCUGGCUGCAACUGUUUAUUAAAAACACAGCACUGUGCAAACACGAAAGUGGACGUAUACGGUGUGACGCCUGCCCGGUGCCGGAAGGUUAAUUGAUGGGGUUAUCCGUAAGGAGAAGCUCUUGAUCGAAGCCCCGGUAAACGGCGGCCGUAACUAUAACGGUCCUAAGGUAGCGAAAUUCCUUGUCGGGUAAGUUCCGACCUGCACGAAUGGCGUAAUGAUGGCCAGGCUGUCUCCACCCGAGACUCAGUGAAAUUGAACUCGCUGUGAAGAUGCAGUGUACCCGCGGCAAGACGGAAAGACCCCGUGAACCUUUACUAUAGCUUGACACUGAACAUUGAGCCUUGAUGUGUAGGAUAGGUGGGAGGCUUUGAAGCGUGGACGCCAGUCUGCGUGGAGCCAACCUUGAAAUACCACCCUUUAAUGUUUGAUGUUCUAACGUUGGCCCCUUACCGGGGUUGCGGACAGUGUCUGGUGGGUAGUUUGACUGGGGCGGUCUCCUCCCAAAGCGUAACGGAGGAGCACGAAGGUUAGCUAAUCCUGGUCGGACAUCAGGAGGUUAGUGCAAUGGCAUAAGCUAGCUUGACUGCGAGCGUGACGGCGCGAGCAGGUGCGAAAGCAGGUCAUAGUGAUCCGGUGGUUCUGAAUGGAAGGGCCAUCGCUCAACGGAUAAAAGGUACUCCGGGGAUAACAGGCUGAUACCGCCCAAGAGUUCAUAUCGACGGCGGUGUUUGGCACCUCGAUGUCGGCUCAUCACAUCCUGGGGCUGAAGUAGGUCCCAAGGGUAUGGCUGUUCGCCAUUUAAAGUGGUACGCGAGCUGGGUUUAGAACGUCGUGAGACAGUUCGGUCCCUAUCUGCCGUGGGCGCUGGAGAAUUGAGGGGGGCUGCUCCUAGUACGAGAGGACCGGAGUGGACGCAUCACUGGUGUUCGGGUUGUCAUGCCAAUGGCACUGCCCGGUAGCUAAAUGCGGAAGAGAUAAGUGCUGAAAGCAUCUAAGCACGAAACUUGCCCCGAGAUGAGUUCUCCCUGAGACUUUAAGUCUCCUGAAGGAACGUUAAAGACGAUGACGUUGAUAGGCCGGGUGUGUAAGCGCAGCGAUGCGUUGAGCUAACCGGUACUAAUGAACCGUGAGGCUUAACCUUACAACGCCGAAG